GAAGAAGAGGAGGAAGAGGAGGAAGAAGAAGAGUUGGAGGAAGAGGAGAUGGAGGACGGUAUUCAGUCAGUGGACAGUCUUUCAAGUACUCCUACUGGAGUUGAGACUCCUGAUGUUAUUGACCUUCGCAAGCAGCAGAGGAAGGAGCCCGAGAAGCCCCUCUAUCAGGUGCUUGAAGAAAAAGAAGAAAAGGUAGCUCCUGGUACUCUUCUUGGAACAAGCCAUACGUAUGUGAUCAACACUGGCGCUCAAGACAAGGCUGGUGCCAAAAGGGUUGAUCUGCUCAAAGGUCAGAAGUCGGAUAGAGUUGAUGUCACAUUGGCACCUGAAGAGUUGGAACUUAUGGACAAUGUUUUACCAGCCAAAUACGAGGAAGCUAGAGAGGAAGAGAAGCUCCGUAGCCAGCGUGAGGAUUUCAGUGACAUGGUAGCAGAGAAUGAGAAGAAGAGGAAGCGUAAAAUGCAGGAGAAGGAUGGCAAGUCGAAGAAGAAGGAUUUCAAGUUUUGAGGUUCUGAUAUAUUGUUCCAUCUAGUUUAGGGCUGCAGUACAUCCAGCUUAGGGUAAUAGCAUUAGUAGGUCUCCAUAUGCACUGCGAUAAAUCUCGUAUGCUGUGAUGAGAGUGUUUUCCCAUGCGUUGAAGCGGGGAGAGUUGGUGUAUGAUAAUCUAUCCUAUGAAAUGUGCUUAGUUUGUACCUCUUGUUUCAUUUCUACAUACGUUGAGCUGUAUGUGAAAAUAGAAAAUCUCUUGCCCUAAUUUAGAUGUAUGCUCGACUUGGUUAUAAUUUUAGUAUUAGAUUGUACAAACUUUU
This 809-nucleotide unclassified non-coding RNA is filed under the name Hevea brasiliensis (rubber tree). The record is from RNAcentral. Lineage: Eukaryota; Viridiplantae; Streptophyta; Magnoliopsida; Malpighiales; Euphorbiaceae.